Long non-coding RNA from Cercocebus atys (sooty mangabey), 1504 nucleotides. RefSeq lists it as uncharacterized. The record is from RefSeq and is a predicted model, not a curated record. Lineage: Eukaryota; Metazoa; Chordata; Mammalia; Primates; Cercopithecidae. The transcript has 4 exons.
GACGCCAGCCGCCUGCUCUCUUUUGUUCUUGGCCGGGAGCUGCCUGCCGCAGCCCAGCCAAUCACCACCCGGCCGCCCCCUUCCCCUCCCGUCCGCGCCACUCUGGGGGUUCUCCCCACUCGCGACCCCCGGUCCCACGCACACCUCCCGCUGACUCGACCCCUGCCUGGCUACCCCCAGUCAGCCACUUCCGCGGGUGCUCUCUGGCCUGCAGUGUUUGUGAAAAGGACUUGCUUUGGCCCGUCACUUGUUUCCAAUCCUGGCAACCUUUUGGACAACGUUUUUGAAAUUAGCAUCCCUUUCUGAAGAUUUAUGCUUGUGAACAAGACAAGGAUAUCUGCUAUCACCUCUUCUAUUCAAGAUUGUAUUAGAGUUCUUAGCCUGGAAAAUAAGGAUGAAGGAGAUUUCUGGCUUUCAGAGUGACUUCAGGAAUGGGAGAUACUUCUUAGAAGAUGCAUUGAAUAUCAUCCAGAUCAUUAAAGGCCACAUACCAAUAAAAUUUGAACUUCUCUAGAGGAGAGGCUAUUUUAUUCACUCACAUGUGCCUAAUACUUAUCACAAAAACUGACUCAGCUUUAGACCAGGCAUGGCAAAUAGGUUUCAUUAACUCUGCCAAUUCCAGACUAUUAGUAAUAGUGAUCUGGAACCCUGUAGAGGAGAAUGCAUUCUGAAACUGCAUCCAGGGAUCAGUGGGAAAGAUUCUAUGAUUAGUUAGCAAUGUCUGCCAUGGGUGCCAAAGACAAAAUGGUAGCACAUGCAACACAUACUCGCCAUCUGAGGCCUAAAGAUUUCACGACCAUGGGAUCUUGGCUGAUGAUGUGGGGCACUGAAUUAAGAGCAUUGUUUGCCUAGGAACUCAUCAUAGGACCAGAAGGAUUUUAAGCUAAUAAUGGAUGAUAUGACAGAAAAGCCAAUGAAUCGGUCUGUUAAUUACUGUAAAGGAAGUCAGGUUUGAUGGAAAGAAAAUUAAUAGUCAAGAGUGUUGGUAGGAAGUCAAUGUGAAAUGGAAAGAUAAUCCAAAACAAUACUUUGACCUCCAAUUUCUAUGGUAGCAUCUUUUCCCAGACAGAUGUUCCAUGGGAAACUGCUCUUCCAGACAUUUAUAAACAGGCCUACUCCCGGUAUUUUUGAGACCCGAGUAUAAAUUGAAGAGAAUAAAUUGAAGCUGCAUAUCAUAUGAAAACAUUGAAAAGUUUAUAAAUCAAGCUAACAUACUGUUAGAUAAAAUGUCUUCUAGCCACCUACUUUGACAAAAAUACCUUCAAAAUGAUAAAAUUGAAAAAUUUGUAAAUAGCUAUGGUCUUUACAUGAUUGAAAGGUGGCAAAAAUCAAGGAUGAAUUUAAUUAUUAUUGUGCAUGUUUGGUGGUUCUGUUGAUGGUCCAGUGAUGUUUGGGUGAGUAAUAACAUAAAGGCAUACAUGAUUGUUCAGUUAUUUUGUAUUUAUUCUAUAGCAUUUACUCCCUUGCCUUCAUUUCAUCAAAAUCAAGAUUUAUAUAAGAUACU